Molecule: RNA transcript, 7028 nt
Organism: Oncorhynchus gorbuscha (pink salmon)
Lineage: Eukaryota; Metazoa; Chordata; Actinopteri; Salmoniformes; Salmonidae
Gene name: whirlin-like
Exons: 12
Source: RefSeq, a predicted model, not a curated record
AGUGCGGCGCUUUUAAGUAACAAUAUGAAAUAUUCUUCUCCGAUAGAGGAAGACCAACUACCUUGCAAUUGAAGGGGACACUGAGUCGAACGAAAACAACCAGCUUUUUAGUUUGGGUCUAUAAAAAUAAUGAUGACAUAGGUAGGAUACAAAGAUGACCAAUUGCGAACAGUUUUGCUCCCAGACAACCCAGAGGAACACAUUCAGGUGCCACGUAGCGCAAGAGCGCGCGUCUUGUCCGUAUUCUUUGUUAUCCAGGAUCAUAUUCAGUUGAAUAAAAGUUGUUGUUGUUGUGACAAGUCUAGAAAUAUUCCUCUGCUGCACGAGUAUUUUUGCCAACUUUUUGAAGCAAUUAUUUUCUCACCAUCAUCUACGCAUCUACGGUGCACCUUCGCACAAGCCGGACUCUCCAUAAAUAGGUGAAGAUCGAAGAUGCGGCGGCAAUGGAGAGCUGUUAUUAUUUGAUGCUUCCGACAGGCAUUAUUGGAAAGAUGACCAUUUUCAACGCUGACUUCCUCCAAGAAUCACCGUGCGGUCAUGUGUUUUCGGUGCGGAGAGACUUCUAAAGCAGUAUCUCAAAUGCAUGAUCUGACCAUCCAUGUCUGGGGUGUGCUGUUCAUGGUAAAGCUGUAGCAUGAUGAGUAGUGAUUUGGAGCGCGUUUCACUCAAUUCAACGACGGCUAACUCGGGAAUUGGGUCGGGUGGCCGCGCGCUGUCAGCAAACGUUCGGAAGCUGCACAACGCGCUCAACCUGCUGCUCACAGACUUCGAGAGAGAACAGUUCAUACACUGUCUAAAUGUUUACCAUGCAAAGCGCAACGUCUUCGAUUUAGUUCAAACUCUCAAAAUAAUCCUCAACACGCCAAACAAACGACAACUCCUCCCCAUGUUGCGGUUGGUCAUUCCGCGCUCAGACCAGCUGUUGUUUGACCAGUAUACUUCCGAGGGCCUGUACCUUAAAACGGACCAUCUACCGCAAAACAGUGGUAACAACCCCGAAAGCUCUGGAGGAGAAGUAGGCAAUGCUGCAAACCACCAUGUCCAAAUUCCCACUGCUCACUGUAUGAACCCUCAUGAUCUCUCUUGUUCUGCAUCACCAGGAGCGUGUCCCGGCAAGGAUGGUUUCAGCACCACUGCUGAUGGCACGGCUGCCCAGGCUUUCAUCCAGGGGGAGCCUUUUGGAGAGAUCCGCCAAGUGACACUGAGACGCAGAAAGAGCAAUGAGGGUUUAGGGUUCAGCAUCCGGGGAGGCUCCGAGCACGAUGUGGGAAUAUAUGUGUCGCUCGUAGAACCCGGAUCUUUUGCUGAGAAUGAGGGAUUGAGGGUCGGUGAUCAAAUAGUGACUGUUAACGACAUGCUGUUUGACAGACUCUCACACAUGGAGGCAGUCAAGGUCCUGAAGGGCUGUAAGAAGCUAGCCAUGUCAGUGUGUUCUGUGGGCCGUAUCCCUGGCGGUUAUAUCACCAACCACAUCUACACCUGGGUGGACCCUCAGGGCCGCAGUGUCUCCCCUCCCUCCGACCUGGAGAAGCAGGAGCAGCACAGCACCCUGGGACGGCAGGACAGCCAGAGACGUGGACACACACAGGAGAGGGCUGAGAAGACGAUCACCCUAAACUUGAACAAUGGUCUCUCUCUGGGCCUGAUGAUCAGAGGAGGGGCAGAGUACGGCCUGGGCAUAUACAUUACUGGAGUGGACCCAGGCUCAGCCGCAGACCACGGUGGACUCAAGGUGGGCGAUCAGCUGCUGGAGGUGAAUGGGCGGAGCUUCGUGGCCAUCCCCCAUGAUGAGGCGGUGAGGAUCCUGAAGACGUGUCGCCACCUGCUGGUUAGGGUGAGAGACGUUGGCCGCCUGCCCCAUGCCCGCACCGUGGUGGACCAGACCAAAUGGAUCAGCAGCCCUAGCCCCCCCAGCCCACCGCCCAUAGCAGAGAGCACCGCCAGCCCAGCUACUACACGGCCAUCUUCAGCGCGGGCUACACCUGUAUUAGGAAAGUCAGUGUGUCGAGGUGUGUGGCCCCCAGGUUCCCAGGUGUCUCUGGAGGAGCAGGCCUUUAUGGUGCUGACCGACCCAGAGAGGCAGACCAUGGUUUACUACCUGCAGGAGUACCAGGAGGGACACAUCGGUCUGGAACCCCUGGCUAUGGCCCUGUUUGAACUCUUCAACACCCACGCCAAGUUAUCCUUGCUGUCUGAGGUGCGUAGCCUGGUGGCUCCCCAGGACCUGGAGCUGUAUGAUGGUCUGGUGCUGCACCGUGAGAGGGAGGCUCUGAAGGCCUGGCAUGGGGAAACAGGAACGUUGCAUCCACACAGCCACUGUGUACACACAGAGCCCUCAGCCAGCCACAGCCACUCCAACCCCACCACUCUCUGCUCUGCCAUGCAUGAGUGCUCACAUGGUGACAGUGUAGAGCAAGAUCCAGGGGUACACACUAAUGCCCUACCUGACAUUACAUUGAAAGAAGUGCGGUCUACAGCUGAAUCUCCUCCGUCCUUCAAGCCAUCACUUCCCUCCGGCCAUACCCAGACGAGAAACCCCAAGGAGAGGGACCCUUCCAAGCGUCCCUCAUCCAGUCACUCCCAGUCUGGCCUGAUCUUUACUGCCCCCACCAGGCUACAUCAGGAAUGUCACCACAAAUCCCUCAAAGCCUUCAGCUCCUCCAACCACCAAACCUCCACCUCCCCUAGUUCUGGCCUCCAUCACACCUGUCCCAACCCUGGCCACCAAAACAGCCGCAACCCUGGCACCAACCACAGUGCCAAUCUAAGCUCUGCUCAUCAGACAUCCAUAAACUCUCUUCACCACACCUGCCAAAACUCCCUCCACAUCUCCACCCCCACCUCUGACCACCACCCCCACCAAGGCUGCCCUAGCUCUGGCCACCAUACCUGCCCAGGCUCCCUUGAUCACAACUCCUUGUCGUUCCCCUCUGCUCUUCCAACCCAGGAGACGACCAUCAAGCACCCCAUCUUCAGAUCCUCUUCCCAUGAGAAGCCUGCUACCUCCCAUAAGACUGCCUCCCCUUGUCUCUCACCGUGUCCCUCCCCCGGUCUCUCCCCAUGUCUGUCCCCCUGUCCCUCGCCCUGUCCCUCUCUCGCUGUCCUGAAGCCGCCCCCAUGUAGCCCAGACAGACCCUGCUCUCCCUGUUCUCCCUCCCUCAGCCAGGGAGGUCAGUGUGUCAUGGCAGGCGUACACAGACUGACUGCUGAGGUCAGGCCCCAGCCCCAGCAGAGAGGCGCCACAUUGUCCCAACUGUCAGACAGUGGUCAGACUCUGAGUGAGGACAGUGGGGUGGACAUUGCUGAGACAGGAGGGCUGAGUAAAGACAGCAGUCCUCGGCCCAGUAAGAACCAGGCCACACAGCAGUCCCAAGUGGCCCAGGGACCUGCAGCGCUGGCAUCCAAACAGCAGCCAGGCUCUCCAGUGCCCACCCCUACCCUGGUACAUGUGGUAAAGAAUGCCAAUACUCUGGGUAUCGCUAUAGAGGGAGGGGCAAACACACGCCAGCCGCUGCCACGCAUCGUCACCAUACAGGUGAGAAAGAGAGACCACUGCGUCCCAAAUGGCUCUCUAUUCCCAAAAUAGUGCACUACUUUUGACCAGGGCUUAUGGGGCUCCGGGGGAAAGUAGAUGAUUCUGCAUCACCUUAUCAGACUCCAACAUUUAAGGGUAACUCUGAACAUGAAUGUAGCAUGAUGAGGACUACACAGGGCUUUUGUACUGUGAUGUCUGCACAUAGUAAGAACUACUUCGUCCUAUGUGAAUGUAGACCCCCGAUGUUGCGCCUGAAGGUGUGCCAUACUUAUAUAUAUAUUUUAUUGCAUAGCAGCAAGCAUAAAAAACGACGGAAUUACCAUUUUCACUUUCAUCCUAAAUGUGACUUUCCCCCGAGCAUCUGUUUAUGUGUGUAAUAGCUGCCUAUAUUUGCAUUGAUAAGAAUCUCAAAUCAGGUAAAGGAUGCUCUCCUGGGGAUUUGUAACUUUGUUGAAGAAAGUUUUCUACCACCUGUUUAGUCUCAGAAAUCUUGGAUUGGAUGAUCAAUUCAGGUCACCAGGGCCCAUAUUCAUUAGGAACUAAAUGGAAGCAAACCCAAACGUGGAGGGUCUACCUGAACUUGUCCAAUAAGGAACACGUGUUUUCAUUUUUAGUUUUCGGGUGUGAGUAGACCGACAUAGUCAUUGUGAGUGGGCCUACAUGUGUAUGCAAAUAUUAUUGUCAAGAACAGCCUUGAUGUAAGGAUCGACGCUGGAGACGAGAAGCAGGUACAGGGAGUGAACAUUUAAUAACUACGGACAGGAACAGAAUACGGACAGCAUCUGGACAGGGGAAACGGAAACAACAAUAAUGCUGGCACAGGGAUGAAACCGAGGAAACAGACAGAUAUAGGGAAGGCAAUCAAAACGUGAAGGAGUCCAGGUGAGUCCAAUGAGCACUGAUGCGCGUAAUGAUGGUGACAGGUGUGCAUAAUGAAAGGCAGCCUGGCGCCCCCGAGUGCCAAAGAGGGAGAGCGGGAGCAGGAGUGACAGAAACAGGUGUAUGUAUGACGGUGCAUAGAUUUCCAUAUCAAUGACUUCUCAAGAACUGCCCCCAUAAAUAUCAGUAGUCCAAUAGAGUCCUAUUGGACAGACUACCACUCAUUUAUAGGUUAAUCUAACACAAUACUCACUGCCCCCCCCCAAUUAUCAACAUAGCAGGGAUAUCACACCGCCUCAUUAUUCCAACUAUUUCCCCCCAUCAUUUAAUGGUACUGUCUGUGAUUCAGUAACAGUCCAUAGUUGUUUUCCAAAUGGCAACCUAUUCCCUAAAAUAGUGCUUAUAGUUCCUACACUUUUAGAAAAAAAAAUUGCUAUCUAGAGCCUUAAACGAUUCUUUGGCUGUCCCCAGAGGAGAACCCUUUGAAGAACCCAUUUUGGUCCCUUUCCACAGAGGGUUCUACGUGGAACCCAAAAUUCUUCCACAUGGAAUCAAAAAGGGAUCUACUUGGAACGAAAGCGGGUUCUCCUAUGGGGACAGCCACAGAACCCUUUUGGAACCUUUUUUUUCUAAGAGUGUAUGGGCCUUAGUCAAAAGUAGUGCUCUACAUAGGGAAUAGGGUUCUAUUUGACACGCAGCCAUUAGGUUGGCUCGGAAUGGUCACACAGAGAAUUAAAAGUGACAUGGUUGAAGAGGUUACUUCAGGAUAUGACAGUCAACAAUAAUGGGAUUUUAUUGUUUUACUGACUUAAUGAUAUGGAGCCUUGCCACCUCUGGGGAUAUGGUGCGAUAAGAAGAUUAUGAACAAUAGGUUGUCACAGCCAAUUUCAAGGCUCUGCAGCAGCUAUUGCGUAACGCUAGAGUGCCACUGCUUUCCAAAGAGUAAACAUUGUUGGUUAGUUGGAAUGCCUUCCCCCUCUGUCGUAAUGAGGGUAGAUUGCAGGGUGCUUAAACUUAAGUGGCGACUGCUGCUGUCCAAUAUAAUUGUUGUUAGGGUGUUUUGAUUAGUGUUAUUUACAUCCCACACUUAUAUUUUUCUUCCUGGCGCUGAUUCUGCUGAUAGAGGAUAAUUAUUUUGAAGAAGGGUCUACUUGCGCUGACUGAGAUAUGUGGGGGGUGGGAGGUUUCUACCAAAAAAUGAACUGAAUGUAAAUCGUUCUGGAUAAGUGCGUCUGCUGAAUGACUAAAUUGUAAGAAACCGUGAAGGAGUGGGAGAUAAAUAAAGCCAUGUCCUUUAAACACGUCCCCUUCAGAGUGGGAGAUAAAAAAGCCAUGCAUAGCCAACGCUAGAAAUAUUGUAAAUGCAGUUGCACUAGCUGGAUUGGGGCCACAGAUAGGAUGCUUUGCUCACGUUAUUAAUCUAGCAUCUCAAAAAGCAAUGUCAGUGAAUCCAUUCUCUCGCCUCCUAGCAAAGAUCAGGAAGGUGGUAUACUUCUUUCAUAAAAUAACAACUGCUGCACAUGCUUGAGUUCCCAAACCACAAACUAAUCCAAGAUGUCCCUUACUAGAUGGAAUUCAAGCCAUGACAUGGUUGAGAGAUACUUUGAUCAGAAAGGUGCGGUGUAUUCUACACUGACGGAUCAAGCUGUGAGAAAGAAUGUCAAAGAUAUUGUGACUUUGUCUGAAAACGACGUGAGACUAGCAGAGGAAGUUUAUCAAAGUGUGCAAACCUCUCAAAACAGUCACCACACUGAUAUGCACAGAGAGCAUUCUCAGUUUCCAUGGUCCCGCCUAUGAAAACAAUGACCCUGAAAUCAAUGGUGGCAUCUGGAGCCUAGAUAUGCUGACCCUGGUGUCCAAGACUUCUUACACAAGAGCACCACUUUGGACUCCCGGUUCAAGUCCCUGCUGCACCUGGAUGCUGCUGCCCGUCUAAAAGUUUGUGACCAAUAUACAACAGCCACAUAUACCACAGGAACCAACCCCUCUACAGAGACAGGGGUUCUCCUCCAGACAAGAUGUCUGCCAUGGCUGAGCUUUUUGGAGAGUUGUUCACGACCCAGGAGCAGGGAACCAAGUCAAAGGUCAAGGUCAUAGAGGAGGAGGUGACCUCAUACAGGGAAGUGGACUGUAUUCCCCUGGAUGUUGAUCCACCUACAUGGUGGAAGACCAAAGAGUUAAUAUACCCUCAUGUUGCCAUGUUAGCAAGGUGCUACCUGGCUGUGCCUGGGACCUCUGUCCCUAGUGAGAGGGUAUUCUCCACAGCGCCUGACAUUGUCACAACAAGCCGAUCUGUUGCUCACUGCAGAUCAUUUCAAUAGAUUCAUCUUCUUAAAGAAAAACUUGAAAAUCUGAUUUAAUUAUUAUUAUUAUUAUUAUUUUUUUUUUUAACUAACCGGUCUCAAGUGGUCCUAUUUUGUUUAAGGCUCUGCUAUGUGACUUAACUUUGAUAUAUGCUUCUGGACUAUUCACUCUGGUUGAAGUUCUGUUAUAAGGCAGGCACUGCUGUUUUUUUGUUGUCCCUUUGAUUCCAAGCAUUUCGCUACACUUGCAUUAACAUCUGCUAACCAUGUGUAUGUGACAAAUAAAAUUUGAUUUGAUUUGAUUUGCUCUG